UCUGAUCGCUGCACCAAAGCCCGACUCACCCGUUCGGUCGGAUUAUUUGUUGGACAACCAAGUAGCAAAAAGGUUGAACUGUGAGCCGCUCCGGAAUGCCAAAAACAAACAUGGGUUGUUUGACCACACACUUUUCGAAGUGAGAGGUGACGACUCCCAGCGUUGUGUUGAACUUUUAGACCGUGGGAAUGGACCCAUAUAGUCGAUGGACACAACUUGCCAUGGCAUCGACGCUAUUCUCGGACGACCCAAUUUGAGGUGGAUGUUUCGCCGUUUUGCAGUUUCUCACACAUAUGCGGCCAAUAGUGCUUUUCCCGGAUUUCCCUCAUCGUUUUGUAGUACCCAAAGUGGGUUACACUGUGCUCGUCUUCGAGGAUCUGAAUAGGAUCAGCUUUUGGCGGCAUAUCAACUCAAAACGAGGAUCUUUUGAAGUGCAGCUGACUUGCAGAAUUGACUUUGAUGUUCAAGUCCACCAACUAUAUCAUGCUGCUGCAGUUUAAGGGCCCAUCCAACAAGUCGUGCGGAGAUGCCCUCGACGCUUACUUUAUUUAACUAUUUCAAGGAUUGCGCGUCCAGUUAUAAAUGAGUACCCCCUACGUAAUGGCGGAAUUUUCCAAUGGCCAAAUCUACAGCCAGGCAUUAGUGUCCCGUUGCAGAUUACUUCCUCUGAGUUGAAGAAACAUAUUUGAAAAGAAUGAGAUUGGGCGCCUACAUUCAUUAGAGAUGCUGUACCAGAACUGUUUCCGCUACCACUAAACAAGCGUCAGAUUCUAUUAAAAUCUGGAUUCUUCAGGAUUGGUGGAGAAGUACGUUCUGAUCGCUGCACCAAAGCCCGACUCACUUUUUUGGACCGUGGGAAUGGACCCAUAUAGUCGAUGGACACAACUUGCCAAGGCAUCGACGCUAUCUUCGGACGACCCAAUUUGAGGUGGAUGUUUCGCCGUUUUGUAGUUCCUCACACAUACGCGGCCAAUAGUGCUUUUCCCGGAUUUCCCUCAUCGUUUUGUAGUACCCAAAGUGGGUUACACUGUGCUCGUCGUCGAGGAUCUGAAUAGGAUCAGCUUUUGGCGGCAUAUCAACUCAAAACGAGGAUCUUUUGAAGUGCAGCUGACUUGCAGAAUUGACUUUGAUGUUCAAGUCCACCAACUAUAUCAUGCUGCUGCAGUUUAAGGACCCAUGGAACAAGUCGUGCUGAGUUGCCCUCAACGCUUACUUAAUUAAACUAUUUCAAGGAUUGCGCGUCCGGUGAUAAAUGAGUACCCUCUACGUAAUGGCGCAAUUUUUCAAUGGCCAAAUUGACAGCCAGGCAUUAUCGUCCCGUUGCAGAAUACUUCUUCUGAGCUGAUGAAACAAAUUUGAAAAGAAUGAGGUCACUAAGGAAGCAUCAGAUUCUAUUGAAAUCUGGAUUUUUCAGGAUUGG
Molecule: long non-coding RNA, 1420 nt
Organism: Ochlerotatus camptorhynchus
Lineage: Eukaryota; Metazoa; Arthropoda; Insecta; Diptera; Culicidae
Exons: 4
Source: RefSeq, a predicted model, not a curated record